AUGGCUCAGGAUGAACGCUGGCGGCGCGCCUAACACACGCAAGUCGAACGGUUAAAGCACCUUCGGGUGUGUAUAAAGUGGCGAACGGCUGAGUAACACGUGGGCAACCUGCCCCUCGCACCGGGACAGCCUCGGGAAACCGUGGUUAAUACCGGAUACGCCCCCUUGAGGACAUCCUCUCGGGGGGAAAGCCCCGGCGGCGAGGGAUGGGCCCGCGGCCUGUUAGCUAGUUGGUGAGGUAACGGCCCACCAAGGCAAUUAUGGGUAGCUGGGUUGAGAGACCGACCAGCCAGAUUGGGACUGAGACACGGCCCAGACUCCUACGGGAGGCAGCAGUGGGGAAUCUUGCACAAUGGGCGAAAGCCUGAUGCAGCGACGCCGCGUGCGGGACGAAGGCCUUCGGGUUGUAAACCGCUUUCAGCAGGGACGAGGCCGCGAGGUGACGGUACCUGCAGAAGAAGCCCCGGCUAACUACGUGCCAGCAGCCGC
This 489-nucleotide ribosomal RNA is filed under the name uncultured bacterium. RNAcentral describes it as "bacterial SSU rRNA". It matches the Rfam family "Bacterial small subunit ribosomal RNA", at positions 19 to 518 of the family's 1533-position model. The record is from RNAcentral.